RNAcentral lists this transfer RNA (82 nucleotides) under Planctomycetota bacterium. RNAcentral's name for it is "Planctomycetes bacterium (subsurface metagenome) tRNA-Leu". It matches the Rfam family "tRNA". Rfam says of the family: Transfer RNA (tRNA) molecules are approximately 80 nucleotides in length. Their secondary structure includes four short double-helical elements and three loops (D, anti-codon, and T loops). Further hydrogen bonds mediate the characteristic L-shaped molecular structure. tRNAs have two regions of fundamental functional importance: the anti-codon, which is responsible for specific mRNA codon recognition, and the 3' end, to which the tRNAs corresponding amino acid is attached (by aminoacyl-tRNA synthetases). tRNAs cope with the degeneracy of the genetic code in two manners: having more than one tRNA (with a specific anti-codon) for a particular amino acid; and 'wobble' base-pairing, i.e. permitting non-standard base-pairing at the 3rd anti-codon position. The record is from RNAcentral. Lineage: Bacteria; Pseudomonadati; Planctomycetota.
GCGGGAGUGGCGGAAUUGGCAGACGCGCAAGAUUUAGGUUCUUGUGCCGCAAGGCGUGCGGGUUCGAGUCCCGCCUCCCGCA